Molecule: transfer RNA, 75 nt
Filed under: Neomoorella thermoacetica
Lineage: Bacteria; Bacillati; Bacillota; Clostridia; Neomoorellales; Neomoorellaceae
Description: Moorella thermoacetica tRNA-Asn
Rfam family: tRNA
About the family: Transfer RNA (tRNA) molecules are approximately 80 nucleotides in length. Their secondary structure includes four short double-helical elements and three loops (D, anti-codon, and T loops). Further hydrogen bonds mediate the characteristic L-shaped molecular structure. tRNAs have two regions of fundamental functional importance: the anti-codon, which is responsible for specific mRNA codon recognition, and the 3' end, to which the tRNAs corresponding amino acid is attached (by aminoacyl-tRNA synthetases). tRNAs cope with the degeneracy of the genetic code in two manners: having more than one tRNA (with a specific anti-codon) for a particular amino acid; and 'wobble' base-pairing, i.e. permitting non-standard base-pairing at the 3rd anti-codon position.
Source: RNAcentral
AGGAGAGUAGCUCAAAGGUAGAACGACCGGCUGUUAACCGGGCGGCUGCAGGUUCGAGUCCUGCCUCUCCUGCCA